GACGAACGCUGGCGGCGUGCUUAACACAUGCAAGUCGAACGGACAGGCCCUGCUUUUGUGGGGUGCUCGAGUGGCGAACGGGUGAGUAACACGUGUGUAUCAUGCCCUUGUCUUUGGGAUAUCUCUAGGAAACUGGGGCUAUUACCGGAUAGGAGCUCCUGCUGCACGGUGGGGGUUGGAAAGUUUCGGCGGUUGGGGAUGGAUUAGAGGCUUAUCCGCUUGUUGGUGGAGUAGUGGCUUUCAAAGUUUUCGACGGAUAGCCGGCCUGGGAGGGGGACCGGCCACAUGGGGACUAAGAUAGGGCCCAGACUCCUACGGGAGGCAGCAGUGGAGAAUAUUGCACAAUGGGCGGAAGCCUGAUGCAGCAGCGCCGCGUGCGGGAUGACGGGCUUCGAGGGGAAAACCACUUUCUCCGGAAACGAAGCCUGAGUGACGGUAAUGGAUAAAAAAGCACCGGCUAACUACGUG
This 468-nucleotide ribosomal RNA is filed under the name uncultured bacterium. RNAcentral's name for it is "partial 16S ribosomal RNA". It matches the Rfam family "Bacterial small subunit ribosomal RNA", at positions 28 to 507 of the family's 1533-position model. The record is from RNAcentral.